CCUACGGGAGGCAGCAGUGAGGAAUAUUGGGCAAUGGGCGCAAGCCUGACCCAGCAAUGCCGCGUGCAGGAGGACGCCCUUCGGGGUGUAAACUGCUUUUGUGUGGGAGGAGACAAGGACCGUACCACACGAAUCAGUCACGGCUAACUACGUGCCAGCAGCCGCGGUAACGCGUAGGUGACAAACGUUAUCCGGAAUUACUGGGCGUAAAGGGUCCGUAGGCGGCCUGGUAGGUCUGGUGUGAAAGCUCUCGGCUCAACUGAGAGAAGCCACUGGAAACCGUCGGGCUAGAAUCAUGUCGAGGUCGGUGGAAUUCCCGGUGUAGUGGUGGAAUGCGUAGAGAUCGGGAGGAACCUCGAACGCGAAGGCAACCGGCUAGGUGCUGAUUGACGCUGAGGGACGAGAGUGUGGGGAGCAAACAGGAUUAGAUACCCUGGUAGUCCACACCGUAAACGAUGUGUGCUCGGUGUAUGUCCUUAAGUGGAUGUGCGCCCCAGCUAACGCGCUAAGCACACCGCCUGGGGAGUACGGUCGCAAGACUAAAACUCAAAGGAAUUGACGG
This 562-nucleotide ribosomal RNA is filed under the name uncultured bacterium. RNAcentral's name for it is "bacterial SSU rRNA". It matches the Rfam family "Bacterial small subunit ribosomal RNA", at positions 338 to 916 of the family's 1533-position model. The record is from RNAcentral.